This 1209-nucleotide long non-coding RNA is filed under the name Salvator merianae (Argentine black and white tegu). RNAcentral describes it as "lncRNA (ENSSMRG00000018903.1)". The record is from RNAcentral. Lineage: Eukaryota; Metazoa; Chordata; Lepidosauria; Squamata; Teiidae.
CAUAGGCAUAACUGAAACUUGGUGGGAUAAUACGCAUGAUUGGAACACAGAGCUCGAAGGAUACAACUUAUUUAAAUAAAACAGGCUUAAUAAAAGGGGAGGAGGUAUUGCAUUGUAUGUAAGGAAAAUAUAUACCACCACAGAGAUUAAUCUUUCAGAUAAUGGAAGCCCUGUAGAAACCGUUUGGGUGAAAAUACAAGGAGAGAGCAACACAAAGGAUACUGUUGUAGGAGUUUAUUAUAGACCCCCUGGACAAACAGAAUAUAUGGAUGAACUAUUUAUAUAUCAGAUGGCCAAGCUCUCGGGGAAACACGACCUAGUCAUUAUGGGAGAUUUUAACUAUCCGGACAUUUGUUGGGAAUCUCUCUCUGGCAAAAGUCAUGGGUCCAAUAAAUUCUUAUCCUCUCUGGCAGAUAACUUCAUUUUCCAAAGGACUGAGGAAAAAACAAGGGGGUCUGCUAUCUUGGACCUAAUCCUUACCAACAGGGAGGAAAUGGUUGAGGAAGUAAGGGUGACUGGGACCCUGGGUGGCAGUGACCAUGCUAUCAUUGAGUUUUGGAUAACAAAAGGAGGAAGAUCUGAGAGGACUCGGACUUCAAGGUUAGAUUUCAGAGGAGCAGAUUUUGAUGGACUCAGAAGGAGGGUAGGAAGGAUCCAUUGGCUGGAUGUCUUAAAGGACAGAAAUGUCCAGGAAGGAUGGGAAAUUUUGAGAAAGGAGAUUCUAGAGGCACAAUCUUUAACAAUUCCUAAAAGAAAAAAGAAUGGCAAGCAUCUAAAGAGACCAGGGUGGAUGAACCCUGAACUUAAUAACUUGCUAAAAAGAAAAAAAGAAAUGUUUAAAAAAUGGAAAGAGGGGGACAUAUCAAAAGAAGAAUAUAAUGCAACUUGCAGGAACUGCAGGAUAAGUGUCAGAAAGGCUAAAGCUAAAAAUGAAUUGAGGAUUGCAAGAGAGGCCAAAAACAAUAAAAAAGGCUUUUGGGGGUAUGUCAGAAGCAAAAGAAAAGUCAAAGAAGCUAUAGGACCUUUACAAAAUGAGAAGGGUGAUUUGGUCAAAAACGAUAUUCAGAAGGCAGAACUUCUGAACUCCUAUUUUGCAUCUGUUUUCUCUCAGAAAGGAAAGGAAACAUCAGUUGGCCUUCACUGUGCUGUUGAGGGAAUAAGAGAAUCAAGGCUCUGUAUGGACAAGGAGAAGGUGAGGGAACACUUAGC